This 1659-nucleotide long non-coding RNA is filed under the name Scleropages formosus (Asian bonytongue). Its description in RNAcentral is "lncRNA (ENSSFOG00015027223.1)". The record is from RNAcentral. Lineage: Eukaryota; Metazoa; Chordata; Actinopteri; Osteoglossiformes; Osteoglossidae.
GAUGGCUCAUAUCAAGCGGUUUGAGAAAAUCCCCAUGUCUAAGGUACGUUGCACAAAACGGGACCGAAUCAGGACCAGGGCAGCGCUUGACAACGUGCGCUCUUGUUUUUCCGCUCUUGAGAUUAAAAGCGGGGCUCCGGCCUCCCACGACACCCUGCAGGAACGUCGAGUCAUUCGCACCGCAGCAGCCAAACGGGAAGCGCUUCUUUGGAAUUCGCAUGGUACCCGCGGCAGUUAUUGAGGAGGAGAAAGACAGGAUGCGGACGAUGAGCCGUCUGGGGAAGGCAAUGAGAGGUAUUUGCAAAGAGGAGGACUACGCCUUCUUGAGCAACGCAGACCACUCUGGGAAACAGCCGGAGGACAAGCGUGUGGAGGACGACCGGAGGCAGAAGCACCAAGAAAGGGUCCAGCGCAGGCAGGAGUGGGAGAAGAGGGAGCAGGACAGACUGAAGGAGCUGGAGGAGCUGAGAAAGGAGAAGGAGCAGCAGUGGAAGGACCACGUCGCAAUGCUGGCUGCAGAGCGGGAGGCCACCAUGAAGGAAAGGGCGGUCCGGCUUCGAGACUUCAGGAACUUCCAGAGGAAGGUUUUAGAAGAAGAGAUGGGAGGAGACCCAAGGAUGGGGCGUGGGAAAAUUGACGAACUCCUGCUUAGAAUGUAAUGCCAGUCAGGGAAGGGGUGAGGUUCCCCGUCAACACCUGGCUGAAAACCUAACGUACACAGAAGCAGCGUAGCUGUACCCUAAGGCAAAAUUUCACUACCUUCUGUUUGUUUUUUCAUAUUGCUUUUCAGAUGGGCUGUGGAUGCAAAAAAAUUCUUUUUCCCCCCACUUGAUAGUAAUUUAAGAAUCAAGCGUACAUUCUUCUGACCAUGCAACAUGCUCACCCUCCAAAGCAUCGGCAUUUUAAUUGCUUAUUUCACCACGGCAACAGAAAGCUAUCACCCUCCCCUUUGUGAACCAUUUACAACUAGGUGGAAGACACACACACACACACACACACACACACACACACACACACACACACACACACACACAGAGAGGCUGAAACCGCUUAUCCCAUGUGGGGUUGCGGCGAGCCGGAGCCUAACCCAGCAACACAGGGCACAAGCCCAGAGGGGGAGGGGACACACCCAGGACGGGACGCCAGUCCGUCGCAAGGCACCCCAAGCGGGACUCGAACCCCAGACCCACCAAAGAGCAGGACCUGGCUCAACCUACUGCACCCCCCCCAGCCGGAAGAACAAAAAGGGAAACCUUCACAUUAAAACUCCUUAACGGAAAACCCUUUCAGUCCACAGAGGUUGGGAUCUGCCUGUCUUUGUAAAACAGGUGUCUUCUGAAAUGCAGCUCUGCCAUUUCACACAAGCAGAGCAAAGAGAAAAUCCUGUCCCAGCGUGUCCCGGCCCUCCGGGAAGGAAAAUACCACAGCACACCAUGGGACUCCCGUACUUCUGUUUACCAACAUGCCACAAGGCAGAGCCUCAACUCCAUGCCCUUUCCACACUGAAGCCUGGAACCAUUAUGUGUCAGUCACACACCUCCUAGAGUUAACUUUAUCUUUUAAAAUCUACCUGUAACAUAAAAUGUACUGACGAAAAGACAGGCCCAGUAGAAAAAAAAGAAACUGGAGAAACAAGACUAUUCUUCCAAAGUCUUCUGC